This 484-nucleotide ribosomal RNA is filed under the name uncultured bacterium. Its description in RNAcentral is "partial 16S ribosomal RNA". It matches the Rfam family "Bacterial small subunit ribosomal RNA", at positions 30 to 507 of the family's 1533-position model. The record is from RNAcentral.
AUUGAACGCUGGCGGCAGGCCUAACACAUGCAAGUCGAGCGGAUGAAGGGAGCUUGCUCCUGGAUUCAGCGGCGGACGGGUGAGUAAUGCCUAGGAAUCUGCCUGGUAGUGGGGGAUAACGUCCGGAAACGGGCGCUAAUACCGCAUACGUCCUGAGGGAGAAAGUGGGGGAUCUUCGGACCUCACGCUAUCAGAUGAGCCUAGGUCGGAUUAGCUAGUUGGUGGGGUAAAGGCCUACCAAGGCGACGAUCCGUAACUGGUCUGGGAGGAUGAUCAGUCACACUGGAACUGAGACACGGUCCAAACUCCUACGGGAGGCAGCAGUGGGGAAUAUUGGACAAUGGGCGAAAGCCUGAUCCAGCCAUGCCGCGUGUGUGAAGAAGGUCUUCGGAUUGUAAAGCACUUUAAGUUGGGAGGAAGGGCAGUAAGUUAAUACCUUGCUGUUUUGACGUUACCAACAGAAUAAGCACCGGCUAACUUCGUG